GACGAACGCUGGCGGCGUGCUUAACACAUGCAAGUCGAACGGAAAGGCCCUGCUUUGGUGGGGUGCUCGAGUGGCGAACGGGUGAGUAACACGGGAGUAACCUGCCCUUGACGUUGGGAUAACUUCAGGAAACUGGGGCUAAUACCGGAUAGGAGCUCCUGCUGCAUGGUGGGGGUUGGAAAGUUUCGGCGGUUGGGGAUGGACUCGCGGCUUAUCAGCUUGUUGGUGGGGUAGUGGCUUACCAAGGCUUUGACGGGUAGCCGGCCUGAGAGGGUGACCGGCCACCUUGGGCCUGAGAUACGGACCAGACUCCUACGGGAGGCAGCAGUGGGGAAUAUUGCACAAUGGGCGGAAGCCUGAUGCAGCAACGCCGCGUGCGGGAUGACGGCCUUCGGGUUGUAAACCGCUUUCGCCUGUGACGAAGCGUGAGUGACGGUACUGGGUAAAGAAGCACCGGCUAACUACGUG
This 468-nucleotide ribosomal RNA is filed under the name uncultured bacterium. RNAcentral's name for it is "partial 16S ribosomal RNA". It matches the Rfam family "Bacterial small subunit ribosomal RNA", at positions 28 to 507 of the family's 1533-position model. The record is from RNAcentral.